UCCCAGGUGGCUCAGUGGUAAAGAAUCUGCCUGCCAAGCAGGAGAUGCGGGUUUGAUCCCUGGCUCGGGGA
RNAcentral lists this transfer RNA (71 nucleotides) under Bos taurus (domestic cattle). It matches the Rfam family "tRNA". Rfam says of the family: Transfer RNA (tRNA) molecules are approximately 80 nucleotides in length. Their secondary structure includes four short double-helical elements and three loops (D, anti-codon, and T loops). The record is from Rfam by way of RNAcentral. Lineage: Eukaryota; Metazoa; Chordata; Mammalia; Artiodactyla; Bovidae. RNAcentral also lists the same sequence under 1 other name.